GAGGCUCUUUCCGGUCGACGUUUUUUUUUCUGGUGAAGGUGGCGUGGCCGCGUGGUGGUUUGCUGGCCGCAGGAGGGAUGCAUUCCCAUCGUCCUAGCACCCAUGCUCCGCCGUGGGCCGUGGCCGACGUAUUUCUCGGGGCGGCGAGGUGGCGAGAUCCUCCUCAUCGGCUCCUUGCUCUCCUGCGAGACCGCCACAGCUCAUCGUAGUUGCCGCUGCGCCCAGGUCAUCUCCCCCGCAGCCAGCGCUGCCGGAUUGAUGGCCGAGUCAAGGCAGUUCCAUCAUCUGAUCUUCCUCGUGGUGCUAUGACCACAAUCAGCACACCACGUACAGCCUCACCGGAGAGACGACACUACCAUCAGAACUAGGAGUAGUAAGAGGAGCCCCCCUUGCUACAUGGAGAACAACAGUUGAAGAAGAACAUCUUAAAAUCCUCACAAGCUUCAGGGUCUUCUGCUCAUCUCUUUGUAGGUAGGUUGCAAAUAGGAUCUAUAAUCUUUGUCCACAAUUUUCAGAUGAUUUUACCUACCUCCAGUUUCAUUAUGGUUACAUUAUGGGUCACACUGUGACUGCAGCCGCCAUUGCAAGUUUGACUUGAAUUUUGGCUUCUGUAGGUAUGGACUCGAUUCUCCUCUCCAUAGGUUUCUACCUCUCUGAAUUCCUAUUCCUGUUGCCACAUAAUUACAUCCUUUAUUUUUGGGGCGGAAAUCAAUGUAUAGAUCUAUUGUUUCUCUGUACAAGCACAUGCUAUAUAUUUGUUUUUGGACUAAUUCUUCCAUUGUUUUCUUGCUAAUUUGAAAUUAUCCAACCUUUUAUAUUUUCACUUGCAUAGAUGGCUUAAUCUAGAACCUGGACCGAUGACUAUGUAUAACGCAUGCAUUGGGUCGUUUCUCCUAAGAAGAUUAAACAACCUGAACUUUUAACUUGAGCUCCAAAGAAGUUGUUGAAUGAUCUAGCAUUUUUGGGUUUUUACUAAGCUGAAAAAUGUAGCACUGUGACAAUAAUAUUCUGAACUUAAAUCUUUCAUUUUCUUACCACAUUUUUACAAUUGUGCACUUGGAUGAUGGUGACAUUAUUUCUUAUCUGAAUUCUGCACGCAUGUUUCCAAUUGAAACAGUAACUGAAAUUGAUAAGUAUGCAACAGUUUCUGCCCUGCAGCAUGGCUAAAAUGUUGUGAGUUACUACUUCAGAUAAGUAACCACCGUAUUAUUUUCUGUGUGUAAUUGACAUGUACAGAUGUUGUCCCUCCGCCUGACAACAAUCUAUAGGUAUGCAGGUACUGUCUAAUACCUACACACAAGCUUCUCUCACAGAUUGACUCCUCUGAUUGUGACUCAGCAUGUGUGUGGCCGUGAUGCAGACCUUAUCUUGGCCUGAGCUUCAAUUCCCUUAUGUGAUACGAUUGGCAGCUCUUUUCUUCUAGAUAUAUUGGUUUCUGCAGGUUCCAUUGGAUCUUGCCUUUGAGUGAUACGAUAGCUCAAUGGCAUGCUCACCAGUUGUUGUCCUGUCAAAAUGGCAAACUGGCUCAACUUUAUUUCCUAUGUGUAUUACAGAGUACUAGAUGUGAUUACUUUAUUUCUAGCACUGGCAAUUUUCUAAGCAUUAUGUUUUUUAAGACGCUGAGGUCUCCGAUGAUUAGUUAUGCUUUGUGAGAUUUAUGCGCUUCAUACAACCUAGGUAAUUCUCAUUUGAUCUUCUUAAUUUCUAACUGAAUAUAGAUAUAUACUGACAGUAAGGCCGGUGCAGUAAAUAGUUGGAUAAUUCUUUGACAUGUCGUACUCUAACGUUUGUUUAAAUCAGCAUUGGAUACUCCCAUGAUCGAUUACUCUUUGCAUAAUAAAUUAAUACAAUAAGAAGUGUAUUGGUUCUUCAGUGUUUGCAGGCAGAAAAUGAUUUAAAUAUAGACACAGUGAGCUGCAUACUGCAAUAACAGCCAAUUGCCAGACAGGAUUACAUUGAUCAAAGAAAGCACUGUUUGGAUAGAGAAAAGAUCAUGGUCAACAAUUGGUGCUUGAGGAAAUGGGUAUAUAUGGUUAUAAGGUUGCGGGAAGUUGUAUAUGACCGGAGCAAGUUGUAAUUUCUCUUCCAGAAUUAUCUAAGCUAAGAGUUUCAUUUAGCUUCAUAGUUGUGCUUUAUUUCCUGGGACAACACGCCCUUAAUGUACAUGUCAUUGUGUCCUGGAACAUUAAUUCAUAAAAAAUAGCAACUUCAAAUUAAAAUUUUAAUAUCUAAUACAUUGGUGACCCCGCCUUCCAAAAAUUUCUUUGUUGCUGAACUUCUGAUUGUAAACUGCUACAUUAGAUUGUACCGUUGGUCUUUAGGUUUAAUUUUGAUUUCUUGUUGUUUGCCUUCAAAUUGCCACAAAGAGGGAAAUGGCCAAAAUCAGUUAGGGCACUGUGCCGUCACACUUGCACACACUUACAUUAUUGCCAGAACAGAAUCUCUCCCUCAAACCUCUCAGUGAAUCGAUAGCACACCGAUACAAUGACCAGUCUCAUUGUGACUAUAAUGGUAGUGACAUUAUCUCAACAAUGGAGCAAUAUUUCAGCUCAAUACAACUCAUAAUUCAACACACUACUUUCUUCAAAAUAAUCUCUCACCAUUGCAGAGAUGUCUGGGGAGAUCUGGAGAUCGGUAGACACACUGGGUCCUUUGAUUAUCCAGUCCACCUCAAGCAAGCAAUUUUUGUAUGAUCUCAAGGAAUCAUCUUACUGGGCCAGGAUUGCAACCAGCCAUGUGGUUUCUGGUUUAACAUCCUCAUAGCUGAGUCGGAGGGCCCUCACUAACUCUUGCAUCAAUACCUGUGCCAACUCUUCCUUUGUACUUAUAUGUGAUAUAAAAAGUGUUACGUUGGCCGCUUGCAAAGCGCGUGGCCACUUCUAGUUCUUACCAAGUCGAGCAAGAAAAAAUCAAACGGCAGAAGCCAACCACAAAAUUUCACAAUGACGAAAAUUAUUUCGCAUUCAUGACAGAGUAUAUAUAAUGAAAAACACAACACAAAAUCUGAACUAACGACUCACGGUAAAGCAUGCCAUAGAACAUGUCUCGCAAAAUGCAUCCACAGAUAAAACACUCCAGAUAAACAGCUAGCAAAA
Molecule: non-coding RNA, 3095 nt
Organism: Aegilops tauschii subsp. strangulata
Lineage: Eukaryota; Viridiplantae; Streptophyta; Magnoliopsida; Poales; Poaceae
Source: RefSeq, a predicted model, not a curated record